Molecule: ribosomal RNA, 301 nt
Filed under: uncultured bacterium
Lineage: Bacteria
Description: partial 16S ribosomal RNA
Rfam family: Bacterial small subunit ribosomal RNA
Source: RNAcentral
CAGUCGCCACGGUAAUACGUAUGUCGCGAGCGUUAUCCGGAAUUAUUGGGCAUAAAGGGCAUCUAGGCGGCCGGAUAAGUCUGGGGUGAAAACUUGCGGCUCAACCGCAAGCCUGCCCUGGAAACUAUGCGGCUAGAGUACUGGAGAGGUGGACGGAACUGCACGAGUAGAGGUGAAAUUCGUAGAUAUGUGCAGGAAUGCCGAUGAUGAAGAUAGUUCACUGGACGGUAACUGACGCUGAAGUGCGAAAGCUAGGGGAGCAAACAGGAUUAGAUACCCCUGUAGUCCCUGUCUCUUAUAC